GUUAACUAGAACUGUGAGGUUUUGACAUAAAGAACUAAGUGGUGAAUAAAACAAAAGAAUUCCUGUACUAAAAUUGUGGGUCCGGGGAAGCACAAGUUGGAGUAUUAGAAAGCAUGUGUACACCGAGUAAGCCAAAUAUCUGUUUUGUCAACUAAGACUGACAGCAACCUGUAUCACAACUGAAUAAAUCGUUUUAAUUUCUGUGUUAAGGAACACUCGCUUGACUAGCUUGUGUAAUUAUUUAAACUGCUCAUCUUUACCUCUUUGAUCAGAAUAAUCCCAAGAAAGCACAUGAAAAAAUUGAGUCUGAAUCGUAAAUCUAAAAUGUGCAAGCCUGGUAUCUAGUGAAAAUCAAGUGAGCUUGCAUGUACAGCUAAAUAUAUCAAGAGAAGCAUGCAUUUUUAAAUGAUGACUAUUGGUUGAAUAUAUUUGGUAAGUUUUUUAGAUUCUGUAAGCCUAAUAUUGAAUAUUGGGUGGGGAAAUAAGCCAUUGUUCAUUUGGGUGUGUUUGGCUUGGAUAUCAUUAUAAAGACUGGUUCCAAGCUCCACCCCAAUGCACUUUAGCUCUGAUGAAAUUUAUUUAAGAUGCCUUGGUGUAAGAUCUAACAAUGUGCCUACACUGAGAGUUUAUGUGGAGUGGACUUUAAAAUUUCAUCAGAGUUUGGUACUUACUGUUUUACUCUACUUAAACAGUUGGGUGAAUCUUGAUUGUGUUCCACUUUCUUAGAAAGAACCAGGGUAAAUCAACUUAAGAUCUUGUUA
This is a long non-coding RNA of Myotis brandtii (Brandt's bat), 761 nucleotides long. RefSeq lists it as uncharacterized. The record is from RefSeq and is a predicted model, not a curated record. Lineage: Eukaryota; Metazoa; Chordata; Mammalia; Chiroptera; Vespertilionidae. The transcript has 2 exons.